CAUUCAGUUAUCCCCUGGAAUUACUGGCAAACUGGUAUUAUUCUGACUUCUGAAAGCCCUGUCUUUCCCUCAGGGAUUUUCCUUUCCCCCUGUGCCUCACAGUCACCUUGCACAAAUCCUUCCUCCUCCUUCUAGGCAAACUACUCUUGAGUGCAGGAAAGCCCAAGAUUCUCCUGUGAAGUCCUUGGCGUCUCUUCAGGAACAGCAACAAGAUACCUUCCCCUGAGUGCAGCCAUCUCUGGCUUUCCAUGCUGUCCUGCACCCUGUAUCAGGCACCAUCUGCUUGAUGCCACAUCUCUCAAUGAGGCCCUGCUACACAGAGGCAUCUGGCUGUGGCACAAACAGGUCAGCCAGCUCUGCCUGGUUCUUGAGGAGAGCUUGUGGUGUGGGGCCAGAUCCGGCAGGAAGUUAAGGCUUGGCGUAGCACAGGGAGAGGUUCUGGCUGAGCACCGGUGUGCUGUGAUGUUGAAGGCUGAUUGCGAAACCAAGAGGAAUUAAGAAGCCAAAGAUCACUCCAUAGAAUUUCUUCAUCCCACAGGAUCCAUUUCUUCAUGAGCAAUGUAAGCAUGGUCAUUCUGAAAGCCCAUCUUCUUGUCUCUUGAUGUUUUCCUUUGACUUUAAGGAGCCUAUUUCUGGUAUUUGGCGGGAUUUUAUUUGCAUACAGUAGAAGAAUUUGAAUUUCGUCCUUUUAUACAACUGGCCAAGCCCUGGGGACAGCUCUGAAUCUGCAGAGGUCUGCUGACUUCUAUUCAUAACUGGUUUCAAUCCUCUGUGUUGCUUACUGUGUGUGAGAGAGAUUAAUAUAAAUGAAGCACUGAUCAAAUGUUUUCUGAUGGCAAUAACUGACAAGGCAAUGGAUCAUGCAGAAAUUGUUCCACAAUUUUCUUGUUAGCUUUUCUUAGUAUCUUCUUGCUUCUCUGUCGCAGAAUCUAUGGCUGCCUCUCUUACAAAUGUACAUUUAUGUUCACAGCAGAUCCAUAGAGAUCUCUGUUCAGGAAUAGAACAGAAUGAAUCUGCCAAGUCCACAGGCAUGAUUUCUCUGGAAAGCGAAUAGAGGAACAGGGAUUGAGGAGAAGUUUCACCAUUUGGUGUCUAAACAGUAGUUAAUACCCAGUGAGUUUUCUGUUGGCGAAUAGGCAGGUGUAUCACCUUUAUGUAACAUUGCUGACAUUAUUGCCAGCUAAGUACUAAGGGCAUCUGUAAAGAAAAAUGCUUGUAACUCUUCAAAAUUUGAAUGGUAUGUCCAGAUUAGCUUGCUGAGACAGAAUUUAAAAAAAAAAAAGUAUGCAAAUUAAAAAUCAAAUUGCCUGCCAACUGUUGGCACCCUGUUACCUCUGCUAACAUUUGCAGGCUCUUAAAGGAUCCUGGGUGCACAAUAGCUUCAGGGAGGUCUGAAGGUGAAGUUCUGGGCUGUGACUCUCAGGUAUGUAGUAGGGAAGGCUUUGUGAGCACUAUUUAUAUUCUUCUGGGAGUUGGGGGAAACUUGGGUGUAAUUCAAUGGAAUUAGGAGUUUAUGUAAGACAUGACUGUUUUAUGUUUCAGAAUAAAACCAGGCAUUUUACUGCUUUGUUUCUGUGC
Molecule: long non-coding RNA, 1578 nt
Organism: Numida meleagris (helmeted guineafowl)
Lineage: Eukaryota; Metazoa; Chordata; Aves; Galliformes; Numididae
Source: Ensembl